RNAcentral lists this ribosomal RNA (1372 nucleotides) under uncultured bacterium. RNAcentral's name for it is "bacterial SSU rRNA". It matches the Rfam family "Bacterial small subunit ribosomal RNA", at positions 28 to 1381 of the family's 1533-position model. The record is from RNAcentral.
GAUGAACGCUGGCGGCGUGCCUAAUACAUGCAAGUCGAGCGAACGGACGAGAAGCUUGCUUCUCUGAUGUUAGCGGCGGACGGGUGAGUAACACGUGGAUAACCUACCUAUAAGACUGGGAUAACUUCGGGAAACCGGAGCUAAUACCGGAUAAUAUUUUGAACCGCAUGGUUCAAAAGUGAAAGACGGUCUUGCUGUCACUUAUAGAUGGAUCCGCGCUGCAUUAGCUAGUUGGUAAGGUAACGGCUUACCAAGGCAACGAUGCAUAGCCGACCUGAGAGGGUGAUCGGCCACACUGGAACUGAGACACGGUCCAGACUCCUACGGGAGGCAGCAGUAGGGAAUCUUCCGCAAUGGGCGAAAGCCUGACGGAGCAACGCCGCGUGAGUGAUGAAGGUCUUCGGAUCGUAAAACUCUGUUAUUAGGGAAGAACAUAUGUGUAAGUAACUGUGCACAUCUUGACGGUACCUAAUCAGAAAGCCACGGCUAACUACGUGCCAGCAGCCGCGGUAAUACGUAGGUGGCAAGCGUUAUCCGGAAUUAUUGGGCGUAAAGCGCGCGUAGGCGGUUUUUUAAGUCUGAUGUGAAAGCCCACGGCUCAACCGUGGAGGGUCAUUGGAAACUGGAAAACUUGAGUGCAGAAGAGGAAAGCGGAAUUCCAUGUGUAGCGGUGAAAUGCGCAGAGAUAUGGAGGAACACCAGUGGCGAAGGCGACUUUCUGGUCUGUAACUGACGCUGAUGUGCGAAAGCGUGGGGAUCAAACAGGAUUAGAUACCCUGGUAGUCCACGCCGUAAACGAUGAGUGCUAAGUGUUAGGGGGUUUCCGCCCCUUAGUGCUGCAGCUAACGCAUUAAGCACUCCGCCUGGGGAGUACGACCGCAAGGUUGAAACUCAAAGGAAUUGACGGGGACCCGCACAAGCGGUGGAGCAUGUGGUUUAAUUCGAAGCAACGCGAAGAACCUUACCAAAUCUUGACAUCCUUUGACAACUCUAGAGAUAGAGCCUUCCCCUUCGGGGGACAAAGUGACAGGUGGUGCAUGGUUGUCGUCAGCUCGUGUCGUGAGAUGUUGGGUUAAGUCCCGCAACGAGCGCAACCCUUAAGCUUAGUUGCCAUCAUUAAGUUGGGCACUCUAAGUUGACUGCCGGUGGCAAACCGGAGGAAGGUGGGGAUGACGUCAAAUCAUCAUGCCCCUUAUGAUUUGGGCUACACACGUGCUACAAUGGACAAUACAAAGGGCAGCGAAACCGCGAGGUCAAGCAAAUCCCAUAAAGUUGUUCUCAGUUCGGAUUGUAGUCUGCAACUCGACUACAUGAAGCUGGAAUCGCUAGUAAUCGUAGAUCAGCAUGCUACGGUGAAUACGUUCCCGGGUCU